This 364-nucleotide unclassified non-coding RNA is filed under the name uncultured Clavaria. RNAcentral's name for it is "sequence contains ITS1". The stretch from base 1 to 105 matches the Rfam family "5.8S ribosomal RNA", at positions 50 to 154 of the family's 154-position model. Lineage: Eukaryota; Fungi; Basidiomycota; Agaricomycetes; Agaricales; Clavariaceae. The record is from RNAcentral.
GAAUUGCGAUAUGUAAUGUGAAUUGCAGAAUUCAGUGAAUCAUCGAAUCUUUGAACGCACCUUGCACCCUCUGGUAUUCUGGAGGGUAUGCCUGUUUGAGUGUCAUUAAUCUCUCAACACAAGAAAACUUGUUUCUUGUGCUUGGAUAUUGAAGGUUUUGCUGGCGCAAAUAACUGUCAGCUCCUUUUAAAUGCAUUAGCAGAGCAGUGUAGGACUGGCCUCAGUUUGAUAAGAAAUAUUUAUCUAUGCUGUCGCUAGAUUUCCUCUUUGUGUUCAGCUUCAAACUGUCUUCGGACUGUCUCUCUUGAGGCAAAACAAUUCAUUGAUCGACCUCAAAUCAGGUAGGACUACCCGCUGAACUUAA